Molecule: ribosomal RNA, 389 nt
Filed under: Chaetoceros sp.
Lineage: Eukaryota; Bacillariophyta; Thalassiosirophyceae; Chaetocerotales; Chaetocerotaceae
Description: partial small subunit ribosomal RNA
Rfam family: Eukaryotic small subunit ribosomal RNA
Source: RNAcentral
AUUCCAGCUCCAAUAGCGUAUAUUAAAGUUGUUGCAGUUAAAAAGCUCGUAGUUGGAUUUCCGGCGUGAGGGAUCAGUCUGACUUCUAGUCAGUACUUGGUCCUCUCAUGCCGUCCUUGAAUGGUGCAUCCUGGCAUUAAGUUGUCGGGGUGAGAGCCGUUCAUCGUUUACUGUGAGAAAAUUAGAGUGUUCAAAGCAGGCUUAUGCCGUUGAAUAUAUUAGCAUGGAAUAAUAAGAUAGGACUUUGGUACUAUUUUGUUGGUUUACGGACCGAUGUAAUGAUUAAUAGGAACAGUUGGGGACAUUUAUAUUCCAUGGCUAGAGGUGAAAUUCUUGGAUUCAUGGAAGAUAAACUAUCGCGAAAGCAUUUGUCAAAGAUGUUUUCAUUA